This 119-nucleotide ribosomal RNA is filed under the name Hordeum vulgare subsp. vulgare (domesticated barley). The record is from RNAcentral. Lineage: Eukaryota; Viridiplantae; Streptophyta; Magnoliopsida; Poales; Poaceae.
GGAUGCGAUCAUACCAGCACUAAAGCACCGGAUCCCAUCAGAACUCCGAAGUUAAGCGUGCUUGGGCGAGAGUAGUACUAGGAUGGGUGAGCUCCUGGGAAGUCCUCGUGUUGCAUUCC